UUCCAAAAGUUUUCCCCAGAGAAAAAGUUCCAUUAACUUUCGAUCCAUCUUUUUUCGACGGAGGAGCCAUCCGACUUAGUAGUGCGGCGAAAUUCCAAAGUUCAGGAAACGGGGAACGAUUUGAGAACCGUCGCUUUAAAGCCCCACUUAUCGAGCGCCUAGUUGGUAUGAUAAUGUAAUAAAAUAAAUGGAGGUUGCUGUUUCCGAGCGAUAUGGACUCUCGCUCUAUCCCGUUUCCGCCGCAAAUCUCCUUCCUCUAUACUCCUCCACGCCACCCUCCUCCUUCGCUUUCCUCGUCGCACACCGCCACUUUCGACUCCUCCAUCUCGUUCCCGUCGACUCGAGUCACUCACUCUCUCCGCCUCACUUCGGCUCGCUCAGUUUCAUUUCCUCCCUCCUCCUCCUCUGGACCCUGGAGGGGUUGGCACGGGGGAUCGAGAAGGUAGAAGGGAAUGGAGCUCACCUCGAAAGCGAAAUACAACAAGUCCCGCCGCCAUUGCUGGGUCACCCUUCAACGGGAGUUUUGUCGUUGCGUGGGAGGGGGUUUGACAGCCCUGUGCGACGAGUCAUCCCCUUUCGACCCCGACGUUCCGCUCGGUGGGGAUGAGAGAGAGAGACGGAGAAGGAGCCUCUGUUUCAUACACUAGAACAGAGAAAUUGAGAAUGAGACGGAUAUAUUAUACGUAGAUAAAGAAGAAGGGGGAUAAAAACAGGUGAGGGGGGAGGUAUAGCUUGGGAAUAGAUGGAGAAGGGAGAGAGGGAGAAAGAGGAAGGUUGGUUCGUCGAACAGAGGAUAUCGUGGAGGAAAGGAGAAAAGAGAUCGAGGGUAUGAGGCGGAGAGUAUAUUUAUAGGGAGGGAAGCGAGUCGAAGAAGGAAAAAGAAAGCGGGAUGAAGAGUGAUACACGUAUAUAUAUAUAGAGAGAGGGUGAAGGUGGAAAGAGGAAGGGAGAGAGGUCGAAAACUCCGCCCCUGCAUCCGCAAAAGCGAGUCAAUACCAUGACCAGCCAUCCUUUCUCCUCCGAAUGCUCUCACAGGCAUAACCCUGCCGGUUUUUCAACCCCUUUCUCUCUUUGCGCUCUCGAACCGAGAUAUCGAAAUUCGUUACGUGCCGUAGCGUGAGGACGCUCGACUUGAAAGUUGGCGGCGUCACGAAGCAAACGCGUGUUUUAGGAAUCGAUCCCCGGAUAUGGACCGGACGAAAUUGAAUUCUGAAACAAUUUCAGAGUAUCUGCGAAUUCAGCAGGAUCAACCAUGACAGCCUUAUAUCUCUGCAAGGUAUCGUGCAAAUGCCUCACAUCCGCUGCCACCUGACUCGGUUUACUCGUCGUGGUUUGCAUAUGGAUUCCGGAAUGGGGAUGAGGAUGCGGCGACAAUGUCAAGGCAGUCAAUUCCGCGGAGUUGAAUAGGGGGGAUGAUUCAAGUGGAAGGCACCACUGCACUGCGU
Long non-coding RNA from Apis mellifera (honey bee), 1445 nucleotides. RefSeq lists it as uncharacterized. NCBI's taxonomy places the organism in Eukaryota, Metazoa, Arthropoda, Insecta, Hymenoptera, Apidae. The record is from RefSeq and is a predicted model, not a curated record. The transcript has 2 exons.